Musa acuminata AAA Group (dessert banana) is the source of this 1704-nucleotide RNA transcript. It is a transcript of the gene named AT-hook motif nuclear-localized protein 23-like, with no coding region annotated. The transcript is spliced from 3 exons. Lineage: Eukaryota; Viridiplantae; Streptophyta; Magnoliopsida; Zingiberales; Musaceae. The record is from RefSeq and is a predicted model, not a curated record.
UCUCUUUCCUUUUAUUUUAUGCACCAGCUUCUUCAACUCCUCUCUCGCCAUCCAUCGUCUCCCUACCUGGAUAGCCCCUCCCUUUCUUUCUCUGCAAACCAUCGAGCCUCGUUCUUUCCAUAUGUUAUGGCUGGUCUGGAUCUAGGCACCGCUUCAAGGUACGCCCACCAUCUCUCCCACCGUCCCGGCCUUCACCUUCGGCACCACCACGACCCCGAGUCCGACGACCAGAACGAUGGCGGUGACAGCAGUAACAACGGGCACAGCCAAUUCCGCAGCUCUGACCGCGAGGGCUCGGCGACGGACCAACAGGGACUCGAGCCGGUUGCGGCAGGCUCCGGGCCCGGGGACGUCGUGGCCCGGCGACCCCGGGGAAGGCCACAGGGCUCCAAGAACAAGCCCAAGCCCCCGGUGAUCAUCACCCAGGAGAGCGCCAACACCCUCCGGGCACACAUCCUUGAGGUCGGGGCUGGGUGUGAUAUCGUCGAGUGCAUCGCGACGUACGCUCGCCGCCGGCUGCGCGGGAUCUGCGUCCUCAGUGGCAGCGGCACCGUCUCCAACGUCACCGUCCGCCAGCCGUCGACGGCCGGCUCCGUCGUCACUCUCCAUGGCCACUUCGAGAUCUUGUCGCUGUCGGGGUCCUUCCUCCCGCCGCCCGCUCCCCCUGGAGCUACUAGCCUCACCAUCUUCCUCGCAGGAGGCCAGGGGCAGGUCGUCGGUGGGAACGUCGUCGGUACGCUCUUCGCAGCAGGGCCAGUGAUCGUGGUCGCUGCCUCAUUCACCAACGUCGCCUACGAGCGGCUGCCGCUCGAGGAGGAGGAACCACCGCAGAUGCAGAUGCAGCCGCCAGACCCGCAAGGGUCGGGAGGAGACGGCGGGAGCGGGACCAGCGGUGCAGGCGGCAACACGUUCUCGGACCCGUCCGGACUCCCCUUCUAUAGCUUGCCGCUUAACAUGGCCAAUAGCCAGCUUCCGGUGGACGCGCACGGGUGGCCGGCGGGCGCGCCUGGUCGGUCCCUGUUCUGAUACGAAUGCUGCAAUCGCAAAUCGAAACGACUGCCAAAAGAGAUUUAUAAUUCCACGGGGAGACGGAUGGCCGAAUCAUGGAUGACUCCAUGCUGCGGCGGGCAUGCAGCAGCAGCAGAAAAGAUGUUGUUGUUGUUGUUGUUCAUGGAAACUCUCUUUUCGUAAGCGGUAUUGGGUUUGAGACCACGGCACGGCCUUAUACAACACUUUUGUUCUUUGUUCUAUCAUCAGCAACUCCAUCGCUUCAUUUCUAAACAUAGAUAGCCCUCGAAACAUGUACUUGUUCCAUAUUUGGCUCUCCUACCUGAAGGGGAAAAAAGAGAGGAGAGAAACCGAACAACUGAUCGAGUCCUAUGACAACGAGGAGACAUGAAGAAAGUAGAACAACAAGCUCCUCCUCACCUUCUUCGAUCAGAACAUCUACGAGGUUGGUCCCGAUAAAAUCUUUGCACAUUCGGAGUCCGUCGAUCGAGUUCACGCCACGUUUGGCUUCACAUUUACGAUCGGUUCCUUUUGUCUUCCUGCACUGAAUUAAGAAAUCAGAAAGAACACUGGUAGUGCCUAAUCUCAUGGCCAAGUUUUCUUUCACCAACUUGCUGCUAAUGCCCAUGAUGUUAUAUUUACGAUCGGUUGCUAAAACUCUAUUAUAUCCGGAAAAUUCUCAGAGAGGAGAUCGUA